GACACAUGAACAUCGACAUUUUGAACGCAUAUUGCGGUUUAUACUGACAAGUUUCUUAACUGAAGCUGUAUAGACCACACAUGGUUGAGGGUUGUAUUAUUAUGCCAAUUGAAUUUGUGUGUUUUUUUGUUUUUAAACAAAUAAACCUAAUAAUGAAGUGUUGUUAUGCUUAAGUGUUCAUAACAUCCUUUGAAAACAUUUGUUGUCUAUCAAUAUAUCAAUGAUAAUAAUUUAUUAUUAUUAUUAUUAUUAAAGAGAUAAAGAAACAAAUGCACUUUGAUCACACAUGCGAUUAUCAUUUUUACGAUUAAAGUAGCAACAUAUGAAAGUAUGAUAUGUUUUGAUAUUUGCAACAUACUUCAAUCGUACGUUAAAAUGAAAAUUAUGAUCAUUGAAUUGUAUAAUAACAAAAAAUAUAACCUCAGCUCAUGUGAGACUACCCCCUGAA
This 448-nucleotide ribosomal RNA is filed under the name Hartigiola faggalli. RNAcentral describes it as "eukaryotic LSU rRNA". The record is from RNAcentral. Lineage: Eukaryota; Metazoa; Arthropoda; Insecta; Diptera; Cecidomyiidae.